GAUGAACGCUGGCGGCGUGCUUAACACAUGCAAGUCGAACGAAGUACUUUUUUUGAUUUCCUUCGUGUCUGUUUCUUUUUUGACUGAGUGGCGGACGGGUGAGUAACGCGUGGGUAUCCUGCCUUGUACAGGGGGAUAUCAUUUGGAAACGUCUGCUACUAUCGCAUAAGUGCACAACCUCGUAUGCUGCAGUUUGAAAAAUUCGGGUAGCAUAAGGUUGACAUGCGGUAGAUUAGGUAUUUGGUGAGGUAACGGCCCACCAAGGCAACGAUCCAUAGCCGAGCUGAUAGAGUGACAGGUAACAAAGGAAGAGACACACGACCCAAACUUCUACGGGAGGCAGCAGUGGGUAGUAUUGCACUAUGCGCAAAAACCUGAUGCAGCUACGCCGCGUAAGCGAAGAAGUAUUUCGUUAUGUAAAGCUCUAUCAGCAGGGAAGAUAAUGACGUUACCUGACUAAGAGGCGCCGGCUAAAUACGUG
RNAcentral lists this ribosomal RNA (481 nucleotides) under uncultured bacterium. RNAcentral describes it as "partial 16S ribosomal RNA". It matches the Rfam family "Bacterial small subunit ribosomal RNA", at positions 28 to 507 of the family's 1533-position model. The record is from RNAcentral.